This 92-nucleotide transfer RNA is filed under the name Burkholderia pseudomallei. RNAcentral describes it as "tRNA-Ser(cga)". The record is from RNAcentral. Lineage: Bacteria; Pseudomonadati; Pseudomonadota; Betaproteobacteria; Burkholderiales; Burkholderiaceae.
CGCGAGCUUGGGUUGCAGUCGGGGCGGUUCUCGCUCGAAGCGUGGCGACCGGAUGAGGUCGAGAUCGAGCGUUCGAGCCGUCCGGAUCGUGC